AUGAACGCUGACAGAAUGCUUAACACAUGCAAGUCAACUUGAAUUUGGGUUUUUAACUUAGGUUUGGGUGGCGGACGGGUGAGUAACGCGUAAAGAACUUGCCUCACAGCUAGGGACAACAUUUGGAAACGAAUGCUAAUACCUAAUAUUAUGAUAAUAGGGCAUCCUAUAAUUAUGAAAGCUAUAAGCGCUGUGAGAGAGCUUUGCGUCCCAUUAGCUAGUUGGAGAGGUAACGGCUCACCAGGGCGAUGAUGGGUAGCCGGCCUGAGAGGGUGAUCGGCCACAAGGGGACUGAGACACGGCCCUUACUCCUACGGGAGGCAGCAGUGGGGAAUAUUGGACAAUGGACCGAGAGUCUGAUCCAGCAAUUCUGUGUGCACGAUGAAGUUUUUCGGAAUGUAAAGUGCUUUCAGUUGGGAAGAAACAAAUGACGGUACCAACAGAAGAAGUGACGGCUAAAUACGUG
This 466-nucleotide ribosomal RNA is filed under the name uncultured bacterium. RNAcentral describes it as "partial 16S ribosomal RNA". It matches the Rfam family "Bacterial small subunit ribosomal RNA", at positions 29 to 507 of the family's 1533-position model. The record is from RNAcentral.